Molecule: ribosomal RNA, 455 nt
Filed under: uncultured bacterium
Lineage: Bacteria
Description: SSU rRNA
Rfam family: Bacterial small subunit ribosomal RNA
Source: RNAcentral
AGAAUCAACGCUGGCGGCGUGCCUAACACAUGCAAGUCGAACGAGAAAGUGGAGCAAUCCAUGAGUAAAGUGGCGCACGGGUGAGUAACACGUGACUAACCUACCCUUGAGUGGGGGAUAACCUAGAGAAAUCUGGGCUAAUACCGCAUAAUACCUUCGGGUCAAAGGAGCAAUUCGCUUAAGGAGGGGGUCGCGGCCGAUUAGUUAGUUGGCGGGGUAAUGGCCCACCAAGACUGUGAUCGGUAUCCGGCCUGAGAGGGCGCACGGACACACUGGAACUGAAACACGGUCCAGACUCCUACGGGAGGCAGCAGUGGGAAUUUGCGCAAUGGGGGAAACCCUGACGCAGCAACGCCGCGUGAGGAUGAAGCCCGUUGGGCGUAAACUCCUUUCGAUCGGGAAGAUAAUGACGGUACCGAGAGAAGAGCCCCGGCUAACUUCGCGCCAGCAGCCGC